UCACUACUCCUUUCUUUAUUACUUCCAUUUCCAUAAAUGGAAUACCCAGCCGUCUGCUAAACCCAUUAUCGUAGUGUUGGAACAAUUUGUCAGACUUUGUACUAGUGUUUUAUAUAUAAAAUAUUAUAAAAUUAUUCAAUUUUUUUAGUCACCCAAUUAUUGUUUUAUAAUUUCGUUUAGUCACGCCUACAUAUAUGUACUAUUUAAGCUGACAUAAUUUCUAGACGGACAAAGUUCACAACCAAAUUUGUUUUUAUAACAUUAGUAUUGACCAAAAUAUAAUAACUAUGGAUCAAUUAUAGAAUCAUAAAACAAAUAAGUCUUUAUUUCAUUCAAUAAGUUUUGGAAUAAUUAUCGAUAAGAUUAAAAAUAAGUGUAACAGUAAUACAUAACGCUCACUGAGUAACGAAAUAUUGUAACUCCAAAAACAAUGUUUUUAGGAAAAGACAACAUUCUCUACAUUCAAAACAAAUUACAUUUUUCAAGAGCUGGUCUAAUAUCCAUACAUACAUGUAUGUAUAUGUUAAAGGUCUUUUAAAGGCAAUUUAGGAUGUUCUUGAAAUAUUGUUUACACGCGUGUUAGAUACUCUAUUAAAAAGUUGUGUUUUGCCUUAUAACUGUUAUCAAUGAAAUAUAAUUUAAAACGGGUUAUAAAUACUAAUCAUUAUUAAAAAAUAAUAGUAGUUUUUUUUUAAUUUCGUGCGUAAUAUUUUUUUCCUAACACCCACUAUCACGAUGAUUUAACAAUAAAACAUGUGCUGGAUAUCAGAGAAAGUAAUCGAUUUAAAUAGAAAUUUCCAAAAUUAACUAUUGUUACCACGGAAACUAGUCUUAACUAUAGUUUCUUCAUGUUUUUCAAAUAAUUAGUACAUGUGAACUAUGAUUAAAAUAAUUCAAUUAAAAAAUAGUUAAAAACUAACAGGUCGUUUUUUAAGAUAAUUUGAUAAAAUUUGAGCACUUCCAAUACGUCGAAUGGUUGGGAACAUGGAACUUAUAGAGGCCACAAAGCCCGAACUAUUGCGCCAGCGAGUAUAUGUUUUGCCCAAGUCAUAGCUUACAGAAAUGUUUUUAAAAGGGAAAAGCCUAGAUUACUUAUCGUUGUGACCAAUGAUUGUGGCUGAUAGGGUGAGACAGAGUCUAUCAUCAUGGUUGGAACAACCACAGUCUUUUUAAAUAGAGUAUAAGCCAAUAGAAUAAACCAAUAAGAUAAUAACAAAAAUCUGAAAUAAAGA
Molecule: long non-coding RNA, 1232 nt
Filed under: Lucilia cuprina (Australian sheep blowfly)
Lineage: Eukaryota; Metazoa; Arthropoda; Insecta; Diptera; Calliphoridae
Description: uncharacterized LOC124420681, transcript variant X1
Source: RNAcentral